UACGGGGGGGGUUAGCGUUGUUCGGAAUUACUGGGCGUAAAGGGCUCGUAGGCGGCCAACUAAGUCAUACGUGAAAUCCCUCAGCUUAACUGGGGAACUGCGUGUGAUACUGGAUGGCUUGGAUUUGGGAGAGGGAUGCGGAAUUCCAGGUGUAGCGGUGAAAUGCGUAGAUAUCAGGAGGAACACCGGUGGCGAAGGCGGAUCUCUGGGCCUUAACUGACGCUCAGGCGCGAAAGCUAGGGGAGCGAACAGG
Molecule: ribosomal RNA, 253 nt
Filed under: uncultured bacterium
Lineage: Bacteria
Description: partial 16S ribosomal RNA
Rfam family: Bacterial small subunit ribosomal RNA
Source: RNAcentral